Molecule: non-coding RNA, 20 nt
Filed under: Arabidopsis thaliana (thale cress)
Lineage: Eukaryota; Viridiplantae; Streptophyta; Magnoliopsida; Brassicales; Brassicaceae
Source: RNAcentral
UGGGUUGUAUAGAGUAUCUC